This 499-nucleotide ribosomal RNA is filed under the name uncultured bacterium. RNAcentral describes it as "partial 16S ribosomal RNA". It matches the Rfam family "Bacterial small subunit ribosomal RNA", at positions 30 to 523 of the family's 1533-position model. The record is from RNAcentral.
AUUGAACGCUGGCGGCAUGCUUUACACAUGCAAGUCGAACGGUAACAGGGUGCUUGCACCGCUGACGAGUGGCGAACGGGUGAGUAAUGCGUCGGAACGCACCGAGUAAUGGGGGAUAACGCAGCGAAAGCUGUGCUAAUACCGCAUACGCUCUGAGGAGGAAAGCGGGGGACCUUCGGGCCUCGCGUUAUUCGAGCGGCCGACGUCUGAUUAGCUAGUAGGUGAGGUAAGAGCUCACCUAGGCGACGAUCAGUAGCGGGUCUGAGAGGAUGAUCGCCACACUGGGACUGAGACACGGCCCAGACUCCUACGGGAGGCAGCAGUGGGGAAUUUUGGACAAUGGGCGCAAGCCUGAUCCAGCCAUGCCGCGUGUCUGAAGAAGGCCUUCGGGUUGUAAAGGACUUUUGUCAGGGAGGAAAUCCUUAGCGCUAAUACCGUUGAGGGAUGACAGUACCUGAAGAAUAAGCACCGGCUAACUACGUGCCAGCAGCCGCAGUAA